RNAcentral lists this ribosomal RNA (1459 nucleotides) under Lysinibacillus sp. L9. RNAcentral's name for it is "bacterial SSU rRNA". It matches the Rfam family "Bacterial small subunit ribosomal RNA". Lineage: Bacteria; Bacillati; Bacillota; Bacilli; Caryophanales; Bacillaceae. The record is from RNAcentral.
GGGAAACCCGUCCCGUCGCCCGCGAAGUAUCCUAUACUGCAGUCGUAGCGAUUGACGAGUACGCUUGCUUCUUCUGAUGUUAGCGGCGCGCCGGGUGAGUAACACGUGUUCAACCUACCUUAUAGUUUGUUAUAUCUCCGGAAAACCGGUGCUAACACAGAAUAAUCUAUUUCCUCUCAUGAGGAAAUACUGAAAGACGGUUUGCGGCUGUCACUAUAAGAUGGGCCCGCGGCGCAUUAUCUAUUUGGUGAGGUAGCGUCUCACCAACGCGACGAUGCGUAGCCGACCUGAGCGGGAUCCAACCAAAACUGGCACUGACACACGCCCCACACUCAUACGGGAGGCAGCAGUAGGGAAUCUUCCACAAUGGGCGAAAGCCUGAUGGAGCAGCGCCGCGUGAGUGAAGAAGUAUUUCGGCUCAUAACACUCUGUUGUGAGGAAAGAACAAGUACAGUAGUCACUGGGUGUACCUUGACGGUACCUUAUUAGAAAGCCACGGCUAACUACGUGCCAGCACCCGCGAUAAUACGUAGGUGGCAAGCGUUGUCCGGAAUUAUUGGGGCGUAAAGCGCGCGCAGGUGGUUUCUUAAGUGAGAUGUGAAAGCCCACGGCUCAACCGUGGAGGGUCAUUGGAAACUGGGAGACUUGAGUGCAGAAGAGGAUAGUGGAAUUCCAAGUGUAGCGGUGAAAUGCGUAGAGAUUUGGAGGAACACCAGUGGCGAAGGCGACUAUCUGGUCUGUAACUGACACUGAGGCGCGAAAGCGUGGGGAGCAAACAGGAUUAGAUACCCUGGUAGUCCACGCCGUAAACGAUGAGUGCUAAGUGUUAGGGGGUUUCCGCCCCUUAGUGCUGCAGCUAACGCAUUAAGCACUCCGCCUGGGGAGUACGGUCGCAAGACUGAAACUCAAAGGAAUUGACGGGGGCCCGCACAAGCGGUGGAGCAUGUGGUUUAAUUCGAAGCAACGCGAAGAACCUUACCAGGUCUUGACAUCCCGUUGACCACUGUAGAGAUAUGGUUUUCCCUUCGGGGACAACGGUGACAGGUGGUGCAUGGUUGUCGUCAGCUCGUGUCGUGAGAUGUUGGGUUAAGUCCCGCAACGAGCGCAACCCUUGAUCUUAGUUGCCAUCAUUUAGUUGGGCACUCUAAGGUGACUGCCGGUGACAAACCGGAGGAAGGUGGGGAUGACGUCAAAUCAUCAUGCCCCUUAUGACCUGGGCUACACACGUGCUACAAUGGACGAUACAAACGGUUGCCAACUCGCGAGAGGGAGCUAAUCCGAUAAAGUCGUUCUCAGUUCGGAUUGUAGGCUGCAACUCGCCUACAUGAAGCCGGAAUCGCUAGUAAUCGCGGAUCAGCAUGCGGCGGUGAAUACGUUCCCGGGCCUUGUACACACCGCCCGUCAGACCACGAGAGUUUGUAACACCCGAAGUCGUAGGGGUAACCUUUGGAGCCAGCCG